Molecule: long non-coding RNA, 1343 nt
Organism: Aptenodytes forsteri (emperor penguin)
Lineage: Eukaryota; Metazoa; Chordata; Aves; Sphenisciformes; Spheniscidae
Exons: 5
Source: RefSeq, a predicted model, not a curated record
GGCCCCUUUUCUCAGGGAUAGCCUAACAUCUGACCGCACCCUCUUUGCUUUUUAAAAAAUGCCUUUUCACUCUUUAAGAUAAAUCCACUAUUAUACAAUCUGCCACUAAUUGUGUAUUAAGACUUUUUUCUCUCGAAAGCUGACGCAUCCUGCUCUCAACGUGGUGUAGAAAGCGGGCUGUUACAGUGCUGGAUUAAUAAAAGGGGCCUUUAUGGUUUGUGAAAGAAUAUCUCUGUGCUUAGGCAGGAAACUUUUUGAUCCACAGAAAAGCCAGACGACAUCUAGAGCAAGAGAAGCCAACAUUAGGAGCAUGCAUAUUGUGAUAUCCUCAGCGAUUUCUUUUACAAUGCAUUCUGCUCAGGCCAGUGAAUUUUGUUUAACUGACCAGUGAAAGAAAAAAAAUUAAAAUGAAAAAGGAAACUGAAGAAGUUAAUUAUACCAGAAUUCAGCGAAGCUGAACGGCUUCCCGAAGAGCACUGAGUUUUCUAUGCCAGAUUCUGCUCCAGUGGCUAGGACCUUUAUGGCUGCGGUUUCUUUUUUUUUUUUUUGUGCGUUGGGGUGAGUGGGGGGGAAAAAAAAAAAAAAAGCCACCGUGGAUCCCAUCCCUAAAGUAGAAAUUUUCUUUUUCAUUCUGCAAACAAGGCUAAAGAUCGGAGGAGAAUGAAUGCGAAAGUAAUUCAGGAUUGUGGUCGUGCCAUUAAAAGUGUUCGGCUUCAGAACGAAAUUAUUUGGGAAGUCCGAGCAUUUCUUCUUACUGUAUCGACAGUAUUUGAAAGUUAUGUGUGCUUUGAGUAAUCUGGUUCAAGUGACAACAAUCUCUGCAUGUCAAUGUUUUCUACAGCUUAUGGAGCGAAAGCUAGUUUUGCCACUGGGAAGGAAGAAGCUUUUGCUAGCAGUCUGUAGAAGGAUUAAAUGUUGAACGUGGGGAAGAGGCAAAAAGUGAAUACACGCCCAAAGGGUUAUCCUUGCAUCGUGAAUGGGUUUAAAGUACUCUGUAACCCAGGGCCCACCUGAACAGUAGGACUAAAAGUAUAAUGGGGAAAUAUUUCAAUUAGAAACCCCUUAACAAGCAUUUAAUCCUUCUUUCAGGCAUUAAGGGAAAUAGAAUAAAAUUGUUACUGUACAAAUCUGCUGGAAGCAGAUUUUAACCCAUUUUUAGACGCUUCCCUCUGAUGCAUUAUAAUAUGGCUACUUGCGAGACGAGGCAGUGAGGGGUUUUUUCCUGUGUUCUUUGUUUUUUCUUUUCAAAAGUUAAGGACUAUACUCUAAGAAAAGUCUGUUCAGUCAGCUGAUACAUUGUUUGAAUGUAUGUAUGUGUCUUGCCUGCUUAUUUGAUCUUUUCU